CAGAAGCUGACCUGAUUCCAAUGAAGAUUCGAGAGAGCGCUUGUUUGAUUUGGAGCUAUUUUCGUCAAAAUACUGGGACAUAAUUCUGAAAGACCAUGGAGCUGUGUGCACUGUGCGAAAAGACCAUCGACGCAGAUGUGAAGACUGUCAUACCAACUACUAGAGGAAGAGACUCUAAAACACUGACCAGGAGACUGACUGUCCAAUAGAGCUGGAAGCAGUUCCCAAACUUGAGUUCCCUCAUAUAGGAAAAGGAUAUUGUUGUGUGUAGCGAGUGAAUUCGAGGAAAGGGAAGAUCUUGAAGUGAUCUCAGACUCUUCCUUGCAUGACAAACUAUUGAAGGGUGAACUGUCACAUGGCUCUGUGAAAAACAAUGACCAUCUCACCAGGAUCAGCAGAAAGCUGCAUGAAACGAAACUGACACUGACUGGAAGAACUAGUGAACUGUGGCUUCAGUAUAUGUCUAUGGUUGAUAUAAUAAAAUAUUUUCUGGAUGCUGGUUCCUUCACCGGUCAGCUGUACAUAAAAUACUCCCAUAUCUUGCUGUAGCUAGACACAAGUUAUAUACAAACUCCGCUAUCUGUUCCUGCAACAGAUAACCAAACUUGACAAAACCAACCAGGUUGUCGAUAACGCUUCACGGAUGGAUACCAUGUCGUGAGACGAACCAACAUAUACUAGGAUGACAUUUCACCAGAUUUUACUAUUGAGCAGACCCUGAUGCGCGGUGUAAAACAGCAGGUGGCCUCAUUCAAGGGACAGGAAUAACCGAAUCGCAACAUGCAAAGUGAGUGCAUCCCAUGCCAGCAUGUGCUGAUAUAAACAAUGCCAUGCAGGAAGUCACUGGAACUCGGCGACGUAUGGCGAUCAGCACAGAGAGUUGGAUCCACACAAACGGCAAAGGACACAGAGGAUAUAAUUGUGAUUACAUCCUACCUUUGGGAAAGAAAUCAAUUUGCUGACGGUCCCACCCUUAGAAACAUUGCUAUUGGUGUUAUCUCGAAAAUUCAUUUGUCAACGUUAACACGACAAAGACAUUUUGUUUAUGUCUUAAAAUUCUCAAAGCCAAACAGCAGCAGAGAUUACCCUGAAGAAGAAGGAAGUCCGGACGCAGGAGAAAAACAUGUCUGUAACGUGGAUGGCAGGCCACAAUCAGUCGACAUGCAACUUUUGCAAUUUGUCAUAACAGCAGCCAAUACCAUCUCUGAUGACAUAAAAUAAGGCAGCACUGGCAAAUGAGCUUUGGAAACUUGUUCUUGUCAAUGGUAACGCUCUCAGUCCGUCAAUACAAAAUGACGUACAGUUAGUAAUUGAUGAAGGCUCCUUACUUCAUCGACUGAAUACUAUCCUGAAGCUGUUGUUGUGAUUGGCGGAUUGCCAAAACCCACAACAAAAUAAAUGACCCACCUAAGGCGUGCUAAGGUAUGGAAAGCGAAUGCUGUUCAUUUUGUGCCUGAUAUGAUGCUCAGACCUACAAAAGAGCAUUUUUUGUUUUUAUUACACCAAAGACAACAAGCAGCGUUCCAUUUGUGCCCUUGGCAGAUCUUUGGAAAAUAUAUACACAAUCAUGUAUGCAAAAGCUGAUGAUGACUUACAGAUCGUCACUGUAACAACAGAGUGUGCAAAAAGCAAUGUUACUGCAAGGGUUGGAGAAGACACUGAUCUGCUCAUAUAUGGAUGUAAAACGAAUCCAUUCUAGCAAACAUGAGUAUAACACCGUCCAGUAAACAGGUGGUGGAUGCGGUGGUGGUGGUGGAUGCGAUGGCGGAUGUGGUGGUGGUAGCGGCGGUGGUGGAUGUGGUGGCGGUGGUGGUGGUGGUGCAGAAUACGUUUUGGAAAUCGAAUAUAAGAAAAAAUAAAUCAACAUGGAUGUAAAACGAAUCCAUUCUAGCAAACAUGAGUAUAACACCGUCUAGUAAACAGGUGGUGGCGGUGCCUUCACCAGGUGUUCACCUUCACAUCAAACUAAACCCACAACCACCAUCACCACCGCCACCACAUCCACCACCACCACACUACCACCACCAGAUUUGUCACAUCUGUGUUGUUUAGAAAUAGUACAAUAGCAUCA
RNAcentral lists this long non-coding RNA (2071 nucleotides) under Gigantopelta aegis. RNAcentral's name for it is "uncharacterized LOC121390416". Lineage: Eukaryota; Metazoa; Mollusca; Gastropoda; Neomphalida; Peltospiridae. The record is from RNAcentral.